ACGUGGCUUAAUCGUGACCGUACAAAAUAGGAGGGCAUGGAAAGGCACCACAACUAGGAGGGCAGACAAUCCAAGUCUCAAGAUUUAUGGCACAAAAACAGAUCAAAAAUGAUAAAUUAAUGGGUUGUUGGACAAAAAAAUAAGAUUAAAAAAUGUCAGGAGUUAAGCCCAAGCAGAUGAUUUAUAGCACAAAAAAGAAUAAAAAAUUAUAAAAAAAUUGGUUAGAGAGUAAAAAAAUGAUUAAAAAAUGUGAAAAGCUGGUUUGGUGUGUUUGAUUAUUGUUUUUAAAUAUUUUCUCCUUUUAGCAUACCCAUGUAUAGCUGUUGGGAAAACAAAAUUUUUUUUUUUUAAAAUGUGAUUAAAACAGGGCCACGUGGGUUGUGGCACAACUAACAAUAAAAAUUUAUACCUUCUUAAUUUUUUAAAUCCAUGUAUAGCUGGUGGAUGGACUGAAAAAAUAUUAAAAAAUAUGAUGCACAGUAAAUUUAACGGGGCCUCUCUUAUACCACGUGUUGGUCACUGUGAGGUUUGUUAUAUAUAUAUAUAUAUUAUACCUAUACUAAAACCCCAACGACGUGGUACUGUUCACGGACAGUGCACGGACUAAAAUGCCCCUCGAUUUGUUUGUUAAGCCAAAUUUUUGCCAUCUUUUCCACAGUGAAAAGACUGCCUUGCCCUCAAAGGCCACGGGUUGAUACUUUCCUGUUUCCUUUUUUUUUUUCUAUAUUGUUGUAGCUAUCUACUAAAGCAGUUCCCGUCCACUGUUCAUCAUGUGAGAGGGCUACUGUUCAUCAUGUGUAUCUUCUUUUAAAUUCUGACUCCCUCUUCGAUUCCAGCGUUUUUCCCUUACCUAAUCCACACCUGGCAGCAAAUGGUACCUGCCUUUCCAUAAAAAAAUAAUUAAAAAACCAUACCUGAUCCACAUCCGGCAGCAAUGAUGCAUUUCCACCAAAAAAUAAUUAAAAAACCAAAAAUCUGGAACAUGCAGAAAAAAAUGGAUAGAAAAGGGGAAAAAGAAAUAGAGAGAGAGAAAGAAAAGCUGAGCAUGGAUUGUGAGAGAGGGUGUCUAUCACUAGAAAAAAAAAAAUUAAAAAACACAACAUCAUGGCAUCUGGAACAGUUCCCCACCACUGUUCAUCACGUCUUUCCUUUCUUCCGCACAUCGUUCCUCGCAAUUCCUCUAAUUUUUGCCCACGCGUUCAUCGCUCUGCACACCUCCUCUUCAAUCAUCAUGUCCACGCGUCGAUCAUCGUCGAAGGGCUCUGCUUCGACUCCUUCUCGACUUUUCCUCUAACUCUCCUUCACUUUGCGGUCUUCUCUCAUCUCUCACUCUUUCUCAUGCUUUCUUUCUCUACCCAAGAAGCCUUCCAUGCAUUUCGAUCUCUCCCACAAACCCUUAUGUUGCUAAAGCUUGCCUUCCCUCGCUCUCCGAUCUCGAUUUCUCUCUCACUUUCGUGCUGAAAAAGACCAACCCAGUAGAAAUUUCUGCAGUUCUCUCUCUCAAAAACUAUAAAUCACAGCGGCCAAACUCCAGAAAAAUAAAAAUAAAUAAAUAAAUGGAAUUUGAAAAGCCAUUUGCUUUUCCUUGGAUUUGGGUUUUCCUUCGAUUUCUACACUGUCCAAAACUAGCGGCGUGGAUCAAGCUAGGGUUUUCUCUGAGCCGCGAUUGUUGCUCUGUCCUCCGCGCGUCCGUCACUGUUUGUUGCUGAAAAAUUGCGGCUACAAGAUUUUUCAGAUUUUCCAAUUUCGUUGCCAAAAAAAAAAAAAAAACUCCGACGACCAGCGUUUUGUGCCCAUGGUAUAAUCAGUUUCUACUCAAAGUCUAGAAAUCAAAGGACCCCAAAUUUGCCAGAAAACGAGUAGAGAGCAAGGAGAAUUGACCCCAGUUAGCUCCAACCUUGCGGUAAACGAGGGCUACUCUACUGUUUAUGCAGCAGGGGAAGGGAAGGGAAGUAAAAAUUAUAAGCAAAUGCGUAUAAGUUACAAGCUUUUAAUUAAAAAUAGAAAUGGAGUGACAACAAACAAAAUAUAGGGAUUAAGUUCAUUUAAGUAUGGGUCGUUUUGUAUUUGAAAUCUGAAAGGAGAAACAGAAAUUACAAGAAGAAGAGGAAGAUUGCGUUCCGAUCAUGGCCUUCUCUUCCUGCCUCUUAUCCAAAUCCUGACAAGGAUCUUAUUGAAAAGCAAGGAAGAAGAAUUGAAUUAGAUUAUUGCGGGGCUCAGGAAAAACUAUGCUUCUUUACAAGAGAAAUUUACGAAAUAAGAGUUGGAUAAGAUGGCUGCAAUGGAAUCUCUCAUUAUGGAAAGAGAGGCUAGACUUGAAAUUGAGCGACAACAAAAUUCCCUCUCAUAUGAGCACAGGAGAGUUCAAAGAGAGCUUUCAAGUGCUACUCAGAAGAAAAAGUUAAGGAUACGAUCAAACGUUUACUGUUUGCAGCAAAAGUUGUUGGUCAAAUUUCCAGUUUUUCAUUGCGGCUUUGCAAGCUCUUUAUCAUCAAGGAACAACUUCCGGUGUUAAAAUGGCUUACGUCCCACCCCACAAGCGGCAUUUAAAGGAAACCGAGAGGCCGUUGCUGACGCCGGAGCUGUUUGCUCCCCAGUUCAAGAAAAACUUAAAUGUCAAGCCAUCAGAGUUUGAUGUUGAAACAAGUUCAAAGUCAUUUCUUUAUGCAAACCAUGCUCUAUCGAGAUUUUACACCGUUGGUUUGGAUGACCAGAACCAGUUUCCGUCUACAGUUAAGCUUGAGCCCAUUUCCUUGGACUCUACCUACUGGAAUAAUGAAGAAAACCUCUAGCUUUGGUAAACUCUUGCCUAGAUAAUGAAUGGAAAUUGCCAAAGAGUCCUUGGGUAUCUAUAGCAGAAAUUGCCCUUGAUGACCUAUUUUCUGCAUAUAAAAAUGCAAGGAAUCAAAUGGAGUGUGGAGAGCAUGAAGAAUUUCAACUGAAUUUGGUUGCUAAAGUGGGAAAAUUUCUGUUUCAUAGGACCCCUUCGAUGAACCUGGAAUCUAUAAGGGAAGGUUUGGAUACUGAAACCUUGAUAAAAUUGAAGAAGUCUUUUUAUGCAAACGUUCCGUUGUCGUAUAAGGAAAACAUUGUAAAGGAAGUUGUCCCUAAGAUUUGUGUUGAGCUCAAAGGGAAGAACGAGUUAUACUAUGUAAAGUUGUCUGACUCUAGACGACCAAAAUCAAUCAUCACUUGCAAAUGCAGUGUAGCAAAAGAACAUGGAAAACUACAACUAUGCAAGGCAAG
Molecule: non-coding RNA, 3246 nt
Organism: Malus domestica (apple)
Lineage: Eukaryota; Viridiplantae; Streptophyta; Magnoliopsida; Rosales; Rosaceae
Source: RefSeq, a predicted model, not a curated record